This 492-nucleotide ribosomal RNA is filed under the name uncultured bacterium. RNAcentral's name for it is "partial 16S ribosomal RNA". It matches the Rfam family "Bacterial small subunit ribosomal RNA", at positions 29 to 507 of the family's 1533-position model. The record is from RNAcentral.
AGUGAACGCUGGCGGUAGGCCUAACACAUGCAAGUCGAACGGCAGCACAGUAAGAGCUUGCUCUUACGGGUGGCGAGUGGCGGACGCGUGAGGAAUACAUCGGAAUACACUUUUUCGUGGGGGAUAACGUAGGGAAACUUACGCUAAUACCGCAUACGACCUACUGGUGAAAGCAGGGGAUCUUCGGACCUUGCGCGAUUGAAUGAGCCGAUGUCGGAUUAGCUAGUUGGCGGGGUAAAGGCACACCAAGGCGACGAUCCGUAGCUGGUCUGAGAGGAUGAUCCGACACACUGGAACUGAGACACGGCACCGACUCCUACAGUAGGAAGCAGUGGGGAAUCCUAGAGGAUGCGGGAGAGCGUGAUACAGCCAUACCGCGUGGGUGAAGAAGGACUUAGGCUUGUAGAGCCCUUUUGUUGGGAAAGAAAAGCAGCACGUUAACACCCCGCUGUUCUGACGGUACCCAAAGAAUAAGCACCGGCUAACUUCGUG